GACAUGCUAGUCGCGUGCUUCAGCCAAAACGAGGCACGGCAAACAGCUCAGUAACACGUGGCUAAUCUGCCCUUAGGACGAGAAUACCCCCGGGAAACUGGGGCUAAUUCUCGAUAGGUGAAGAACUCUGGAAUGAGUCUUUGCCUAAAAGAGCUUACGUUAUGCUCGUAAGUUUCGCCUAAGGAUGAGGCCGCGACCGAUCAGGUUGUUGGUGAGGUAAUGGCUCACCAAGCCUUUUACCGGUGCGGGCCGUGAGAGCGGGAGCCCGGAGAUGGGCACUGAGACAAGGGCCCAGGCCCUACGGGGCGCAGCAGUCGCGAAAACUUUGCAAUACACGAAAGUGUGACAGGGCUAUCCCGAGUGCCAUCCGCUGAGGAAGGCUUUUACCCAGUCUAGAACGCUGGGGGAAUAAGGAGAGGGCAAGUCUGGUGUCAGCCGCCGCGGUAAUACCAGCUCUCCGAGUGGUGUGGAUGUUUAUUGGGCCUAAAGCAUCCGUAGCUGGCUAAGUUAGUCCUUUGUUAAAUCCACCGAAUUAAUCGUUGGAUCGCGGGGGAUACUGCUUGGCUAGGGGACGAGAGAGGCAGACGGUAUUUUUGGGGUAGGGGUGAAAUCCUAUAAUCCCAGGAAGACCACCAGUGGCGAAGGCUGUCUGCUAGAACGCGCCCGACGGUGAGGGAUGAAAGCUGGGGGAGCGAACCGGAUUAGAUACCCGGGUAGUCCCAGCUGUAAACGAUGCAUGCUAGGUGUUUGGACGGCCACGUGCCGUUCUAGUGCCGCAGGAAGCUGUUAAGCCUGCCGCCUGGGGAGUACGAUCGCAGAUUGAAACUUAA
RNAcentral lists this ribosomal RNA (830 nucleotides) under uncultured crenarchaeote. RNAcentral's name for it is "bacterial SSU rRNA". It matches the Rfam family "Archaeal small subunit ribosomal RNA", at positions 48 to 859 of the family's 1478-position model. Lineage: Archaea; Thermoproteati; Thermoproteota. The record is from RNAcentral.